This is a long non-coding RNA of Oxyura jamaicensis (ruddy duck), 820 nucleotides long. RefSeq lists it as uncharacterized. Lineage: Eukaryota; Metazoa; Chordata; Aves; Anseriformes; Anatidae. The transcript is spliced from 2 exons. The record is from RefSeq and is a predicted model, not a curated record.
GGCACCCGCGCACAAGUCAGGCGUGUUGGUUUUAGGACAAAAACAAACAAAAAAAAAUGAAAAAAUGAAAAAACAAAACAAAACAAAACACCAACCCUCCCCCGCCCCCCCCCAGCCCCCCUGUGUGGGCGCCGGGUUCCUGCCACGGGGGCUGGGGGGCGCCUGUAGGUUCUGUUCAUCCUCCUCAUCCUCAUCUUCAUCCUCCUCCUCCUCAGGGCGCUGCUCGUUGUCCUCGCCUCGCCGCCGGAGCCGCCGGCCCCCGGGAGCGGAGCCGCCGGACGAGCGGAGAGCACCUAGCAAAAUGGAAUCCCACUCCCCGACUCAAGCCCGACCACAGCAGUGCUACAAAUAAUAAUUAAUAAGCAGCCUUUACAAACAUGCAUUCCUCUUCUCCUUACAGAUAAAAUCUGAUUUUGUUGAUGCUGUUUAUAUGUGGCUUAACACGGAAGUCACAAUGGCCACAAGAGAAGAUGCAGCGUUGUUAUUGUUUGGUGAUGCAUGUUAGAGUUUUAACAAUUCCUGCAGCAGUAAUAAAUAUUGUUAAUUUUUUUCAGAGAUUAACAGGGCGUUUUUUUUUCUUUUUCUUUUUUUCCCUGAUGCAAUUCAAUUGAGGAUGUUUUUGUUACAUACACUGGUGGAGAAAAAUACCCUCGUCUCUGAAUUUUUACAAUCUUGAGUGUUGGGCUUUCAAAUAAUUCUCUUUCUUUCAUGUGAUCUUGUCACCUUACAUUAUCCUUAAGUAAAAAUACAUCUCUUCUACUCUGCCACUGAAAUUUAAUGUUUUUUAAGAGAUGUUUUCACUCUGUAAAAAUCAGCAUUA